GGUACUUGAUGCCUUGGCUUCAUGCCAUAGUAUUGCAUUUGACAAAACUGGUACAUUGACAACAGGGGAGUUCAUGUGCAAAGCAAUUGAACCGAUACAUGGACAUGCUAAGAGUGUUGGAAAAGGAUUUGCUUCUUGUUGUAACCCCAGUUGUGAGAAAGAAGCACUUGCUGUUGCAGCUGCAAUGGAGAGGGGUACAACUCACCCAAUUGGAAGGGCUGUUGUAGAUCAUAGCACAGGCAAAGACCUUCCUUCAAUUUCAGUUGAAAGUUUUGAGAAUUUACCUGGUAGAGGCAUAAUUGCAACAUUAUCGAGCUUUGAGCCAAGACUAGGAGGUGGUAAGCCAUGGAAAGCUUUUCUUGGUUCUGUGGAAUACAUCACCUCACUUUGCGACUCCGAAGAUGAAUCAAGAAGAGUUGAGGAGGCAGUAAGUACGUCAUCUCAUGGAGUUGAUUUUGUCCGUGCUGCUCUCUCGGUUAAUAAUCAAAAGGUAACUCUUUUUCACUUUGAGGAUAAACCUCGACCUGGAGUUUUAGAUGUCAUACAGACAUUGCAGAAUCAAGCUAAACUUCGUGUCAUAAUGUUAACUGGUGACCAUAAAGCAAGUGCAAAGAGAGUUGCUCAAACAGUGGGCAUCAAAGAAGUUAACUGCAGCCUAAAGCCAGAGGAUAAACUUUAUCAUGUUACAAGCAUCUCUAGGGAUACAGGAGGCCUUAUAAUGGUAGGUGACGGCAUCAAUGAUGCCCCAGCACUUGCUGCAGCUACUGUUGGUAUUGUACUGGCUGAGCGAGCUAGUGCCGCUGCGAUAGCUGUUGCUGAUGUACUAUUGUUGCAAGACAAUAUUUCUGGUGUCCCAUUUUGUGUUGCAAAAUCUCGCCAAACAACAUCCUUGAUCAAGCAAAAUGUAGUACUUGCUUUGUGUAGCAUUAUUUUGGCAUCUCUUACAUCAGUUAUGGGGUUCCUCCCACUCUGGUUGACGGUGCUCUUGCAUGAAGGUGGCACACUUCUUGUUUGUCUUAAUUCCGUUCGUGCGCUAAACCCUCCGACAUGGUCAUGGAGAGAGGAUAUUUCACAAAUCAUUGACAGAUUGCGGUCUCUUAUUAUGUUUUUGAGGCAUGGCACACUACCUAGCACCAUUCAGGCAGCCCAUUUGUAAUUUUUGACUUGCCUUUAGCUGCCCAACUCCCCAAUGCGAUGGAAUGAAGAAUAAUUUCUUCUUGCCGAACAAAGCGAGGAUUCAAGAUGUGAAGAACACUGCACCUAGCAUGUUGAAUUGCCUCAUCAAGUAGAUCGUCAGUCAUGUGUAUAUUCUUAUCCCAUGUUUCUGGUCUGGACUUUCCAUGGUAUAAGAACUAUAUUGAAAUUUUUACUGUAAAAAGUGAUAUGUUGAUGUAGCCAGCAAACUAUUUUAAUGCAGGAC
Molecule: unclassified non-coding RNA, 1420 nt
Filed under: Hevea brasiliensis (rubber tree)
Lineage: Eukaryota; Viridiplantae; Streptophyta; Magnoliopsida; Malpighiales; Euphorbiaceae
Source: RNAcentral